RNAcentral lists this ribosomal RNA (232 nucleotides) under uncultured bacterium. RNAcentral's name for it is "partial 16S ribosomal RNA". It matches the Rfam family "Bacterial small subunit ribosomal RNA", at positions 99 to 334 of the family's 1533-position model. The record is from RNAcentral.
CGGACGGGUGAGUAAUGUCUGGGAAACUGCCUGAUGGAGGGGGAUAACUACUGGAAACGGUAGCUAAUACCGCAUAACGUCGCAAGACCAAAGAGGGGGACCUUCGGGCCUCUUGCCAUCGGAUGUGCCCAGAUGGGAUUAGCUAGUAGGUGGGGUAAAGGCUCACCUAGGCGACGAUCCCUAGCUGGUCUGAGAGAAUGACCAGCCACACUGGAACUGAGACACGGUCCAG